UACGAAGGGGGCUAGCGUUGCUCGGAAUCACUGGGCGUAAAGGGUGCGUAGGCGGGUUUUUAAGUCAGGGGUGAAAUCCUGGGGCUCAACUCCAGAACUGCCUUUGAUACUGAAGAUCUUGAGUUCGGGAGAGGUGAGUGGAACUGCGAGUGUAGAGGUGAAAUUCGUAGAUAUUCGCAAGAACACCAGUGGCGAAGGCGGCUCACUGGCCCGAUACUGACGCUGAGGCACGAAAGCGUGGGGAGCAAACAGG
RNAcentral lists this ribosomal RNA (253 nucleotides) under uncultured bacterium. RNAcentral describes it as "partial 16S ribosomal RNA". It matches the Rfam family "Bacterial small subunit ribosomal RNA", at positions 524 to 776 of the family's 1533-position model. The record is from RNAcentral.